GGGAAGAUGGCUCAGUGGUAGAGUACUUGCCUUGCAUGCAUGAGACCCUGGGUUCAAUUCCUCAGCACCCCA
This 72-nucleotide transfer RNA is filed under the name Dipodomys ordii (Ord's kangaroo rat). It matches the Rfam family "tRNA". Rfam says of the family: Transfer RNA (tRNA) molecules are approximately 80 nucleotides in length. The record is from Rfam by way of RNAcentral. Lineage: Eukaryota; Metazoa; Chordata; Mammalia; Rodentia; Heteromyidae.